RNAcentral lists this non-coding RNA (29 nucleotides) under Rattus norvegicus (Norway rat). The record is from RNAcentral. Lineage: Eukaryota; Metazoa; Chordata; Mammalia; Rodentia; Muridae.
UCCAUAACAAGGAACAGGUUCACAGAGAC